This 767-nucleotide ribosomal RNA is filed under the name uncultured Gemella sp. Its description in RNAcentral is "bacterial SSU rRNA". It matches the Rfam family "Bacterial small subunit ribosomal RNA", at positions 28 to 776 of the family's 1533-position model. The record is from RNAcentral. Lineage: Bacteria; Bacillati; Bacillota; Bacilli; Caryophanales; Gemellaceae.
GACGAACGCUGGCGGCGUGCCUAAUACAUGCAAGUCGAGCGGACUUUAAGAGUGCUUGCACACUUAAGGUUAGCGGCGAACGGGUGAGUAACACGUAAAGAACCUACCUUAUAGACAGGGACAACUAUUGGAAACGAUAGCUAAUACCUGAUAAGAAAGAAACUCGCAUGAGAGAAAAUCGAAAGUCGGAGCAAUCUGACACUAUAAGAUGGCUUUGCGGUGCAUUAGCUAGUUGGUAGGGUAAAAGCCUACCAAGGCGACGAUGCAUAGCCGACCUGAGAGGGUGAUCGGCCACAUUGGGACUGAGACACGGCCCAGACUCCUACGGGAGGCAGCAGUAGGGAAUCUUCCGCAAUGGACGAAAGUCUGACGGAGCAACGCCGCGUGAGUGAAGAAGGAUUUCGGUUCGUAAAACUCUGUUGUUAGGGAAGAAAAAAUGUAUAGUAACUAUAUACAAAAGAGACGGUACCUAACCAGAAAGCCACGGCUAACUACGUGCCAGCAGCCGCGGUAAUACGUAGGUGGCAAGCGUUGUCCGGAAUUAUUGGGCGUAAAGCGCGCGCAGGUGGUUUAGAAAGUCUGAUGUGAAAGCCCACGGCUCAACCGUGGAGGGUCAUUGGAAACUAAUAAACUUGAGUGCAGGAGAGAAGAGUGGAAUUCCUAGUGUAGCGGUGAAAUGCGUAGAGAUUAGGAGGAACACCGGUGGCGAAAGCGGCUUUUUGGCCUGCAACUGACACUGAGGCGCGAAAGCGUGGGGAGCAAACAGG